This 275-nucleotide ribosomal RNA is filed under the name uncultured bacterium. Its description in RNAcentral is "partial 16S ribosomal RNA". It matches the Rfam family "Bacterial small subunit ribosomal RNA", at positions 338 to 613 of the family's 1533-position model. The record is from RNAcentral.
CCUACGGGGGGCAGCAGUGAGGAAUAUUGCACAAUGGAGGAAACUCUGAUGCAGCGAUGCCGUGUGCGGGAUGAAGGGGCUUUGCCUCGUAAACCGCUGUCGGAUGGGACGAAAGCAGGUAAGAACCUGUGGGACGGUACCAUUAAAGGAAGGGACGGCUAACUACGUGCCAGCAGCCGCGGUAAUACGUAGGUCCCGAGCGUUGUCCGGAAUUACUGGGUGUAAAGGGUGCGCAGGCGGUCCUGUGCGUCAGAAGUGAAAUAUCACGGCUCAAC